UCGUAACAAGGUCUCCGUUGGUGAACCAGCGGAGGGAUCAUUACCGAGUUUACAACUCCCAAACCCAAUGUGAACGUUACCAAUCUGUUGCCUCGGCGGGAUUCUCUGCCCCGGGCGCGUCGCAGCCCCGGAUCCCAUGGCGCCCGCCGGAGGACCAACUCAAACUCUUUUUUCUCUCCGUCGCGGCCUACGUCGCGGCUCUGUUUUAUUUUUGCUCUGAGCCUUUCUCGGCGACCCUAGCGGGCGUCUCGAAAAUGAAUCAAAACUUUCAACAACGGAUCUCUUGGUUCUGGCAUCGAUGAAGAACGCAGCGAAAUGCGAUAAGUAAUGUGAAUUGCAGAAUUCAGUGAAUCAUCGAAUCUUUGAACGCACAUUGCGCCCGCCAGUAUUCUGGCGGGCAUGCCUGUCCGAGCGUCAUUUCAACCCUCGAACCCCUCCGGGGGGUCGGCGUUGGGGAUCGGCCCCUCACCGGGCCGCCCCCGAAAUACAGUGGCGGUCUCGCCGCAGCCUCUCCUGCGCAGUAGUUUGCACACUCGCACCGGGAGCGCGGCGCGGCCACAGCCGUAAAACACCCCAAACUCUGAAAUGUUGACCUCGGAUCAGGUAGGAAUACCCGCUGAACUUAAGCAUAUCA
RNAcentral lists this unclassified non-coding RNA (634 nucleotides) under Trichoderma citrinoviride. Its description in RNAcentral is "sequence contains 18S rRNA gene, ITS1, 5.8S rRNA gene, ITS2, 28S rRNA gene". The stretch from base 264 to 417 matches the Rfam family "5.8S ribosomal RNA". The record is from RNAcentral. Lineage: Eukaryota; Fungi; Ascomycota; Sordariomycetes; Hypocreales; Hypocreaceae.